UGUAUCGGAACGUGCCUAGUAGCGGGGGAUAACUACGCGAAAGCGUAGCUAAUACCGCAUACGCCCUACGGGGGAAAGCAGGGAGUCGCAAGACCUUGCACUAUUAGAGCGGCCGAUAUCGGAUUAGCUAGUUGGUGGGGUAACGGCUCACCAAGGCGACGAUCCGUAGCUGGUUUGAGAGGACGACCAGCCACACUGGGACUGAGACACGGCCCAGACUCCUACGGGAGGCAGCAGUGGGGAAUUUUGGACAAUGGGGGAAACCCUGAUCCAGCCAUCCCGUGUGUGCGAUGAAGGCCU
This 300-nucleotide ribosomal RNA is filed under the name uncultured Achromobacter sp. RNAcentral describes it as "bacterial SSU rRNA". It matches the Rfam family "Bacterial small subunit ribosomal RNA", at positions 114 to 417 of the family's 1533-position model. The record is from RNAcentral. Lineage: Bacteria; Pseudomonadati; Pseudomonadota; Betaproteobacteria; Burkholderiales; Alcaligenaceae.